Molecule: ribosomal RNA, 390 nt
Filed under: uncultured bacterium
Lineage: Bacteria
Description: bacterial SSU rRNA
Rfam family: Bacterial small subunit ribosomal RNA
Source: RNAcentral
GUGUCAGCCGCCGCGGUAAUACGUAGGGGGCGAGCGUUGUCCGGAAUUACUGGGCGUAAAGAGUUCGUAGGCGGUCUGAUAAGUCAGAUGUGAAAGGCGUAGGCUUAACCUAUGUAAGCAUAUGAAACUGUCAGACUUGAGGUAAGGAGAGGAAAGUGGAAUUCCUAGUGUAGCGGUGAAAUGCGUAGAUAUUAGGAGGAAUACCAGUGGCGAAGGCGACUUUCUGGACUUAAACUGACGCUGAGGAACGAAAGCGUGGGGAGCAAACAGGAUUAGAUACCCUGGUAGUCCACGCCGUAAACGAUGAGUGCUAGGUGUCGGGUAGAAAUAUUCGGUGCCGCAGCUAACGCAAUAAGCACUCCGCCUGGGGAGUACGUACGCAAGUAUGAA